CUCGGUGAUGCAUUGGCUUGUAGCCAGUGCAGUGCCGCAGGGAAGCCGUUAAGUCUGCCGCCUGGGAAGUACGUACGCAAGUAUGAAACUUAAAGGAAUUGGCGGGGGAGCACCACAAGGGGUGAAGCCUGCGGUUCAAUUGGAGUCAACGCCAGAAAUCUUACCCGGAGAGACAGCAGAAUGAAGGUCAAGCUGAAGACUUUACCAGACAAGCUGAGAGGUGGUGCAUGGCCGUCGUCAGCUCGUGCCGUGAGAUGUCCUGUUAAGUCAGGUAACGAGCGAGAUCCUUGCCUCUAGUUGCCACCAUUACUCUCAGGAGUAGUGGGGCGAAUUAGCGGGACCGCCGCAGUUAAUGCGGAGGAAGGAAAGGGCCACGGCAGGUCAGUAUGCCCCGAAACUCUGGGGCCACACGCGGGCUGCAAUGGUAAUGACAGUGGGUUUCGAAUCCGAAAGGAGGAGGUAAUCCUCAAACGUUACCACAGUUAUGACUGAGGGCUGCAACUCGCCCUCACGAAUAUGGAAUCCCUAGUAACUGCGUGUCAUUAUCGCGCGGUGAAUACGUCCCUGCUCCUUGCACACACCGCCCGUCGUUUCAUUGAAGUUUGCUUUUAGCGAGGUGACGUUUAAUUUGGCGUUAUCGAACUUGA
This 647-nucleotide ribosomal RNA is filed under the name uncultured crenarchaeote. RNAcentral's name for it is "bacterial SSU rRNA". It matches the Rfam family "Archaeal small subunit ribosomal RNA", at positions 767 to 1412 of the family's 1478-position model. Lineage: Archaea; Thermoproteati; Thermoproteota. The record is from RNAcentral.